CCUACGGGAGGCAGCAGUGAGGCAUAUUGGUCAAUGGGCGCGAGCCUGAACCAGCCAAGUAGCGUGAAGGAUGACUGCCCUACGGGUUGUAAACUUCUUUUAUAAAGGAAUAAAACGAGGCACGUGUGCCUUUUUGCAUGUAAUUUAUGAAUAAGGAUCGGCUAACUCCGUGCCAGCAGCCGCGGUAAUCCGGAGGAGCCGAUCGUUAUCCGGAUUUAUUGGGGUUAAAGGGAGCGUAGAUGGGUUGUUAAGUCAGUUGUGAAAGUUUGCGGCUCAACCGUAAAAUUGCAAUUGAUACUGGCAGUCGUGAGUACAGUUGAGGUAGGCGGAAUUCGUGGUGUAGCGGUGAAAUGCUUAGAUAUCACGAAGAACCCCGAUUGCGAAGGCAGCUUACUAAACUGUGACUGACAUUGAUGAUCGAAAGUGUGGGUAUCAAACAGGAUUAGAUACCCCAGUAGUC
Molecule: ribosomal RNA, 460 nt
Filed under: uncultured bacterium
Lineage: Bacteria
Description: partial 16S ribosomal RNA
Rfam family: Bacterial small subunit ribosomal RNA
Source: RNAcentral